CCUACGGGAGGCAGCAGUAAGGAAUAUUGGUCAAUGGACGCAAGUCUGAACCAGCCAUGCCGCGUGAAGGAUGAAGGUCCUCUGGAUUGUAAACUUCUUUUAUCUGGGACGAAAAAAGGGCUUUCUAGCUCGUCUGACGGUACCAGAGGAAUAAGCACCGGCUAACUCCGUGCCAGCAGCCGCGGUAAUACGGAGGGUGCAAGCGUUAUCCGGAUUCACUGGGUUUAAAGGGAGCGUAGGUGGGCAGGUAAGUCAGUGGUGAAAUCUUCGAGCUUAACUCGGAAACUGCCAUUGAUACUAUCUGUCUUGAAUAUUCUGGAGGUAAGCGGAAUAUGUCAUGUAGCGGUGAAAUGCUUAGAUAUGACAUAGAACACCAAUUGCGAAGGCAGCUUACUACGGGAUUAUUGACACUGAGGCUCGAAAGCGUGGGGAUCAAACAGGAUUAGAUACCCUGGUAGUCCACGCCCUAAACGAUGGAUACUCGACAUCAGCGAUACACUGUUGGUGUCUGAGCGAAAGCAUUAAGUAUCCCACCUGGGAAGUACGACCGCAAGGUUGAAACUUAAAUGAAAUUGACGG
This 579-nucleotide ribosomal RNA is filed under the name uncultured bacterium. RNAcentral's name for it is "bacterial SSU rRNA". It matches the Rfam family "Bacterial small subunit ribosomal RNA", at positions 338 to 916 of the family's 1533-position model. The record is from RNAcentral.